RNAcentral lists this transfer RNA (74 nucleotides) under Rhipicephalus microplus (southern cattle tick). RNAcentral's name for it is "tRNA-Ile". It matches the Rfam family "tRNA". From Rfam's summary of the family: Transfer RNA (tRNA) molecules are approximately 80 nucleotides in length. Their secondary structure includes four short double-helical elements and three loops (D, anti-codon, and T loops). Further hydrogen bonds mediate the characteristic L-shaped molecular structure. tRNAs have two regions of fundamental functional importance: the anti-codon, which is responsible for specific mRNA codon recognition, and the 3' end, to which the tRNAs corresponding amino acid is attached (by aminoacyl-tRNA synthetases). tRNAs cope with the degeneracy of the genetic code in two manners: having more than one tRNA (with a specific anti-codon) for a particular amino acid; and 'wobble' base-pairing, i.e. permitting non-standard base-pairing at the 3rd anti-codon position. The record is from RNAcentral. Lineage: Eukaryota; Metazoa; Arthropoda; Arachnida; Ixodida; Ixodidae.
UCCCCAGUGGCGCAGUUGGUUAGCGAUCGGGACUUAUAAUGCCGGGGGUGUGAGUUCGAGCCUCACCUGGGGAA